Molecule: long non-coding RNA, 342 nt
Organism: Paramacrobiotus metropolitanus
Lineage: Eukaryota; Metazoa; Tardigrada; Eutardigrada; Parachela; Macrobiotidae
Exons: 3
Source: RefSeq, a predicted model, not a curated record
UUCAACUCGCUUUUCAAAGUUGAUUUCCCGUCAUUAGGCAUGACUUCCAACGGAGCAAGUUAUCUUCAAUGCUGAUUGGCGAGUUUCGUCAGUUUCUCUGCGAUUAACGCACUGGAAAACAAAGCUACCAUGCAUUGUAAACUACCAGCAUUUCAUGCACUGCCUGGAGUCGCAAAUUAAAUGUCAGUAUUUGACGACUUUGCCGCAAUGUCAGCACCGGUAAAGCCUGCUGUUGAUGUAUGUUGCUGAGUUUGAGCUGAACCAGGCCCAACCAGCUAAAACCUGGUUGACCUUUCCGCUGGAAACCGAUACGGCUGAAAAAGGCGCCGAUGGGGGAAUCGA